Cercocebus atys (sooty mangabey) is the source of this 2281-nucleotide RNA transcript. It is a transcript of the gene named 28S ribosomal protein S22, mitochondrial pseudogene, with no coding region annotated. NCBI's taxonomy places the organism in Eukaryota, Metazoa, Chordata, Mammalia, Primates, Cercopithecidae. The record is from RefSeq and is a predicted model, not a curated record. The transcript has a single exon.
UCAAUGAUAGACUGGAUUAAGAAAAUGUGGCACUGAUAAUCAUGGCGCCCCUCAGAACCACUGUGUUGCUGUGGAGCCUCCUGAGGGGUUCUGCAGGUGUGGAAAGGGUCUGUUUCUGGGCUUGAAUCCAGCCCUGGCAUGGUGGCCUGCUCCAACCGCUACCUUGCUCUUUCGAGGUGGGGCUGCCACGCUGCCGGUCAGCUCUGAGGCCACAGAAUCUGGUAGCCCAGAGACCAAGAAACCUACAUUUAUGGAUGAAGAAGUUCAAAGCAUACUCAUGAAAAUGACAGGAUUGAACUUGCGGAAGACUUUUAAAACAGCUGUACAAGAACUGAAGCCACCAACCUAUAAGCUAAUAACUCAGGCACAAUUGGAAGAGGCUACAAAACAGGCAGUUGAGGCAGCUAAAGUACGAUUAAAAAUGCCACCGGUUCUAGAAGAGCGAGUACCAAUAAAUGAUGUGUUAGCUGGAAAUACGAUUUUGGAAGGAACAGAAACAACCAAAUAUAUGUUUACUGAUAUAUCAUAUAGCAUACCACACCGGGAGCGUUUUAUUGUCAUUAGAGAACCAAGUGGCACACUACGCAAAGCCUCUUGGGAAAAACGGGACUGGAUGAUGCAAGUUUAUUUCCCAAAAGAAGGUCGUAAAGUUUUGACACCAAUGAUUUUCAAGGAAGAAAAUCUUAGGACUAUGUAUAGCAAGGACAGGCAUGCCGAUGUCCUCAAUCUCUGCUUUGCCCAGUUUGAGCCAGAUUCCGCUGAGUAUAUCAAGGUUCAUCACAAGACCUAUGGAAGAUAUAGAUAAACACGGAAAAUAUGACCUUUUACGUUCAACAAGAUACUUUGGUGGAAUGGUGUGGUAUUUUGUAAAUAAUAAAAAGAUUGAUGGUUUGCUGAUUGACCAGAUUCAGAGAGAUUUAAUCGAUGACGCAACCAGCUUGGUCCAGCUGUAUCACAUACUCCAUCCAGACGGCCAGUCGGCUCGAGAGGACAAGGAUCAGGCUGCUGAGGGAAUAAAUUUAAUCAAGGUCUUUGCAAAAACAGAAGCACAGAAGGGAGCCUAUGUAGAACUAACACUGCAAACUUAUCAAGAAGCACUCAGUCACCAUUCUGCAGCUUCCUAAAAAUAUUUUCAAAAUACAUUUAUUUUACUAAAUACUGACUACAUUUCUCUGUUAAUAUUGAGCUAAAUGUUAAAAAAUGACCAGAUUAAAAGGUAUCAAUUUGUAGUUCUCCCUACAAAGCAAAAAUUGUUACCCUAUUCACUUUUCUAGGCUACAAGGAUAUUUGAGUGCCUGGUUAUGAAUUUCUUGAAUCAUGUUAGAUGAGCGUAGAGUUAAAAAGUAUGGUUUUUUUGUGUGUGUUACCAAAUAAGGUAAACGGUAAUUUAGACAGACCCCAGCUUAAUGAGGUCAGAGGAACAGAGGUUUCACAUCCUGACUCCAGAAAUGGGUAGCUGCUAGAUAAAAUUGGAGCAAGACCUGUGGAAUGAUGCAAUGAGGUCAAGAAAAAGAGUUUAGAGAAUUACAGCAUGGAUGUUCAGCUCUAAGAAAAAUGUGAUUGAUAGCAUUUGAAAAUGCAGAUUUAGUUAUGCAAAGAAAAGAGAGUGGGGCUGAUCCCUAGGCAAGGUGUAGUUUCGGCUCAGCCUUAUAAAACUAGAAGCCUAUUUUCAUUGUUGAGAAAGGAAACAGAAGUAUCUUCCAUUAAUUCAGAAGGUUUUAGGAGAUACGGUCUAAUAGUAUGAAAAAAAUCAAAGCCCAUGUCUGUUUUAGUUAACAAGGAAAACACAGUGAUUUAAAUGCUGCACAUAAACUCUUCUUAAGAUGAUAUGGGCAUUAUGUUCCCAGUGGUCCACAGUAUUUACAUAUAAAAAUCUAAGAAAUUUCUCAUAGUCCAAAGCGCUGUGGUCAGGGUAGCAAUCAAUACCUAUAUAUAAUAAUGAUCUGUUUAGUCAGGUAAAUGGAAAGCAUUACAGUCAAUCAUCCAAAAUAUCUUCAUCCAGAUUGAUAUCUGUUAUGUCAAUAUCUUCUAAUUCCAAAUUAUCCAAAUCUACUUCUAGUUCGAGUAAACUCUGCAAACAAAAGAGGGUAAUUAAGUUUUACAGUACUGUUAAAGGGAAGUUAUCUGUGGGUUCAUGAUCCAAAGUGAGAACUAAAAUUUUCUUAAUAGUCAAAAAAAACAUCAUCCCAUUUCAAAGCCGCUGCUCUGAAACUUGAUUCUGUCUCUUAAACCACAGAGGCCUAUGUAUUCUCCAAAUAUUGAUGGGGAGGAGGAUGGGGUA